CACUGUGUUAGCCAGGAUGGUCUCCAUCUCCUGCCCUCGUGAUCUACCCGCCUCGGCCUACCAAAGUGCUGGGGCUACAAGCGUGAGCCACCGCGUCAGGCCGAAAGCUGCAUGGUUUUAUUCAAGAUUAGAGAAUCCACCUUCCUGGAAAAGAAGACACAAUCCUCAUCCUAAUGACCUACUGACCACCAUCAGAAGAGGAAGUACCACAUUGUUCAGAAGUACUGGAGAAUGACAAAGUACGGACCCUUCAUCUUCCUCCUUUGCUGAGGCUAAAAGGAAAGAAUAAAUAACAGUUGAAAGAAAAGAUCAAUGAAGGCCUUGACUGCAAUAAAAGAUAGAAAGUUCCUGGCAAAGGGAAACCAUAAAUGCUAUAGAACCUCAUUCUUCAUCCUUUGAACUGAAGGUCUCCUCUGGCCGGACCAUUAAAGAUCGACUGCAGCUCUUCCCUUGAGCAUAGGUGUUUGCCUUACUUAUAUUAGUGCCCAGCUAUGCAGGGUGGCAUUGAAAACCUGUCUGCAAAUACGGUGGAGGCUUUCUUGAUGGCUAAUCCAUAAAGUUUGCAAAAGUUACAUUUAUCUCUCAAGACUCAUGCGGUUGAUAUUAUACACAGUAGGGCAUUUACUCACUCCUUCUUCCAUUAGUAACAACAUCUAAUAUAGCAAGUUGGUGGAGACCAACGUGCUCAGGACACCCGUCCAAUUGCUUUCCUGCCUUUCACUAGUGAUGGAUGGAAGUGAUUGAGUUUUUCAUCCUGAGCUGCUGAGCUCCUGUAGAUUGUGCUGUGAGAUGACAGGGCUACUACCAGAGCUAUUUCUUGAGCGUGAUGAAGUGACAUAGUUUUAAGCUGGGUCCGGGAGUGCCUUAGGAAUUUGGAAGAGCCUUCUGGGGUCCAUCAUGGAUAAACUGGGUAGAUGGAGGCUGUGCACUGGAGAACUCUCACAUUUUCAGUUUGUAAUCCUACAUAUGCUUUUCAAAAGAGAGAAUGAUCUGUUCAAGUAAAAGAACUAAAAAUCUCCUAGUGAGUGAAGACAGAUGACCUUGGAGACCGGGGACCUCUGUUAAAAAUUUGCACAACCAUUAACAGGACUGGUCCUGAAUCUAAGUUGCUUCUCUUCCUUUGAACUUUAUUAGCAUUAUCUCUAAAAUAAUCAUGAAAAUGCAACAUGUUAUCAAGUUUGGAGGAGUCUUAGGAUGGUCAAAUGAGAUCUCAUAAAUAAAAGCACCAUAUUAAGUGCAGGCUGCUGAGGAGCUGUUAGUAAAGCUAGUUACUACUUCUAAAUACUACAGUUUCUAUGCAAAGCUUAUUAUAUUUGAUCUCUCUUGACUGACCCAGCCAUCCUAUGAGAUAAGUAAACUAGUAAAGACAGUUUACUCUGCCUUGUCUUGAUUUUCUUAAUCGUGAGUCAUCACAACAUAUAUAGCAGAAGUCAAAGACAAGGAUUUAUGUGCAAAUAAUUUAUUAAAGGAAUUGUUCCCAAAGGAAAUCAGUAAGAAACUAGAAGAAACGGGCUAGGGAAGGAAGGGAGCUAAGCAGGGGAAUGAUUUCAGAUAAAAUCCUGAAAAGUGUAGCUUCAUCCUACAGACAUAAAUUAGACCUUAGAGUUGUCCUAUCUGAGGAAGCUGAUAUUUUCAUAUUUUGAUUUUCAUCAGUCUUUGGUUAAAGGUACCUACUCCUUCUGCCCAUAUAUUUCCAUUUCAGAGAUGGCAAUUAUUUUUUAAUGGAUGAGUAAAUAUUUAUUGAACAUUGUUUAUGUUGCAGAUGCUGUUCUAGAUCUGUUCACAGUGGUGAAAAUGACAGGCUUCCUCAUGGGACAGAUAAUUAACCAAUAAACAGAUACAUAUUUGUUUUCAGGAAAUAAGUGAUAUGAGCUUAUGAGUUUAAAGAGGGUAAGAGGAAAGAAAAAUACUAGUGGUAGGGAGAGGGUGAUAUUUGUGGUACAUCAGUUAUCCCCCUUCCUGUCUAGACUUAUGACAGAUAUUCACACCUCCACAUCCAUUAAGAUGAGUCGAAGUCUCAAUCUUUUUCAACAAAUAAUCUCACUUUUAGGGUUCUUAUAGAAUGAUUCUUGCAACGAGUGCUGUAUUAGACAAAAUGAUGUAAGAAGAGUUUGCUUUUGAUUUUCUUUUCAAAAGGAAAUAGAUAUAUUAUGUUUUAUUCUUUAGUUUUAUCCAGCACCAGUCCUGAACCUAUUUUACCUUCAUUUCAUUCCCCAACUUUCCCCUGCUCUGCUGGGCACAGCAGAUGAGCUGAACCUUGAAUGUUAUAAGGAUCCUGCAUUAGAUAGAUUCUGGUUGGUUCAACCAGAGAGACAGGGUGACUGCAGGGCUAGAGGAAGGGAGAAAUAAGUAGUUUUCCCUAGUCUUCUGCUUCAGGAAACAACUCUAGCAGCAGCUGUACCUCCUCUGCAUCUCCAGAUCCUGCUAGAAUGAGCUGUGGUUCCAGUGUGCAUCAUGGGACCCAGGCCGUGGGCUUUGCUAAUUCCACUUCCUCCUUCCUUUGUUUCUCCAGCCUAUGGAAUGAUGGUAGUGGUUUCUUGUUGCUGAUAUCUGGGUUGUCUCAUUUUCCUUUGUUGGCUUAUCUCUUCCACCACCUAUGACACAAAUUGUCUAUACUGAAUCUCCUCUUUUUUACUGGUUUGACCCUUACUAUGGUAGCCAAUGUUGGGACUCAGAAAACAACACACCCCAAAAUGAAGGCCUCAGAAGCAGCCUCAGAAGCAACAAUUUUUUUCUGCCCUCCUCCUUUCCUCUCUCAGUCCCAUUUUCCCCCAAAGCUACCCAUAAAACCUGGAAUCAUUCUUCCCCAAGGUAGGUCAUAGAAACCAGAACCUCUUUCUCCCAAAGCCAGCCAAAAAGCCUAAAAACAUUACGCUAACUUUCCUCCACCUUUCUCUUUAGAAACUGGCCAUAAAGAAAUUAUCUUACCUAUACCUUGUUUGACUGAGGUCAUAAGAACCUCCAUUCAAGAGAGGGUCCUGCCCCAUACCCAGAAGAAAGAAAUCCAUGCUCAGAGAGGUCAAGAAGAGGCUAGACGGGCAGGCCUCACUGGGUUUCCCACCUCCGUCUAUUAACAUUAGAUCAGACCCCUUUUGUCCAAUUAUAUUUCUUCACAGCUGUCCAUACUUUAUUGAACCUAAGCAUUAAAACAGGCAAUUUUCCCUGUAUCUUUGAGUUUUCAUUCUGAAGGUUCUCAUGCAUGUGCACUAAAUAAAUUUGUAUCCC
Molecule: long non-coding RNA, 3225 nt
Filed under: Homo sapiens (human)
Lineage: Eukaryota; Metazoa; Chordata; Mammalia; Primates; Hominidae
Description: HSALNT0232010
Source: RNAcentral